Molecule: ribosomal RNA, 424 nt
Filed under: uncultured bacterium
Lineage: Bacteria
Description: bacterial SSU rRNA
Rfam family: Bacterial small subunit ribosomal RNA
Source: RNAcentral
UGAGGAAUAUUGGUCAAUGGGCGCAAGCCUGAACCAGCCAUCCCGCGUGCAGGAAGACGGCCCUAUGGGUUGUAAACUGCUUUUCCAGGGGACGAAUAGUUUCUACGUGUAGAGACAUGACGGUACCUUGGGAAUAAGCAUCGGCUAACUCCGUGCCAGCAGCCGCGGUAAUACGGAGGAUGCAAGCGUUAUCCGGAUUCAUUGGGUUUAAAGGGUGCGUAGGCGGAUUGAUAAGUCAGUGGUGAAAUCCUACAGCUUAACUGUAGAACUGCCAUUGAUACUGUUAGUCUUGAGUUUGGUUAAGGUAGGCGGAAUGUGUAAUGUAGCGGUGAAAUGCUUAGAUAUUACACAGAACACCAAUUGCGUAGGCAGCUUACUGGACCGACACUGACGCUGAGGCACGAAAGCGUGGGGAUCGAACAGG